AUGCGCGCAAGCGUGACGAGGGGACUCCGAGUGGUGGACCACGCGUUCACCUUUUCUCCUGGCCAAACACCUGGGGGAAUAAGGUCUGGGCAAGAUCGGUGCCAGCCGCCGCGGUAACACCGACAGAUCAAGUGGUACCCACGAAUAUUGGGCCUUAAGAGUCCGUAGCUGGCCCGUUAAGUUCCCUGUGAAAUACUCCGGCUUAACCGGAGUGCGUGCAGGGGGUACUGACGGGCUUGGGAGUGGGGGAGGCCGGGAGUACUUGCGGGGUAGGGGUAAAAUCCUGUAAUCCCGCAAGGACUACCAGUGGCGAAGGCGCCCGGCUAAAACACGUCCGACAGUGAGGGACGAAGGCUAGGAGAACGAAUCGGAUUAGAUACCCGAGUAGCCCUAGCAGUAAAUUAUGCAGACUGAGGUGUUGCAACGGCUUUGGGCCGUUGCAGUGCCGUAGCGUAGUGUUAAGUCUGCCGCCUGGGGAGUACGGCCGCAAGGUUGAAACUUAAAGGAAUUGGCGGGGG
RNAcentral lists this ribosomal RNA (518 nucleotides) under uncultured archaeon. Its description in RNAcentral is "bacterial SSU rRNA". It matches the Rfam family "Archaeal small subunit ribosomal RNA", at positions 355 to 874 of the family's 1478-position model. The record is from RNAcentral.